UGGGGAAUAUUGCACAAUGGGCGAAAGCCUGAUGCAGCAACGCCGCGUGAGUGAUGGAGGUCUUCGGAUUGUAAAGCUCUGUCUUUUGGGACGAUAAUGACGGUACCAAAGGAGGAAGCCACGGCUAACUACGUGCCAGCAGCCGCGGUAAUACGUAGGUGGCGAGCGUUGUCCGGAUUUACUGGGCGUAAAGGGUGCGUAGGCGGAUGUUUAAGUGAGAUGUGAAAUACCCGGGCUUAACUUGGGUGCUGCAUUUCAAACUGGAUAUCUAGAGUGCAGGAGAGGAGAAUGGAAUUCCUAGUGUAGCGGUGAAAUGCGUAGAGAUUAGGAAGAACACCAGUGGCGAAGGCGAUUCUCUGGACUGUAACUGACGCUGAGGCACGAAAGCGUGGGUAGCAAACAGGAUUAGAUACCCUGGUAGUCCACGCCGUAAAACGAUGAGUACUAGGUGUAGGAGGUAUCGA
This 464-nucleotide ribosomal RNA is filed under the name uncultured bacterium. Its description in RNAcentral is "partial 16S ribosomal RNA". It matches the Rfam family "Bacterial small subunit ribosomal RNA", at positions 355 to 835 of the family's 1533-position model. The record is from RNAcentral.